CCUGUGUGACAAGGCGAGUGAGAAGAGCAAGUGACAUCUUAGUGUUGUGAAAAUAGUUUUGGCUUUGAGAAUCCCCUGAAAAGUUCUCAGGGACUCGAAGGGACCACUGGGAUGUCUGUACUCGGCUGUUACCCCCUCUCCCCAGCUCCCAGGGCCAGGUGCUGGGCCUGUUGCUGUGGGAGGGAGUGCUGGGUGGCUGAGCUUUAUCACUGUUAUCGGUAGUGAUUUAUCAAGCCCUUUUAAAAAGGAAGUUCGUGGGUGCCAACACACCUGCGCGGGCCCUGCAUUCCUGGAGGUGUCGCACGUCCUCUCUGCCCUCCCCCGGGUGUGGCAUCCCUGUUGGACUUUCCUUUCUAGAAGGAAGCAUCGGGCCUGAGAUUUCUGGAUCUCCUAAGCGGAAUUUGCUCUGAGGCCUGCGUCACACACACGCCCGGGCUGUGUUCACAAAGGCGUUAUUCAGGAAUGGCGACCACACCCGUGUGCUGUCAUCUCUCCAGCCCACCUCCGCCGCCUGGAAGAAGCUUGUGAGGGCUCCAUUUCUGCUUCAGCCCUCUUUCCAACACUGUCUGUCUUUAAUUCUACAACUUCACACGACUGCUGUCUGUUUAAAUGUACCUUGUGAGGUGGGAAGAGUUUGUAAUUUUCCACAAUUCAUUUUAUUGAUUUACAUCUUGCAUAACGGGGCUUUUUUGUUUCCUUCCUCCUCUUAGGAAAAAAAAAAUUUUUUUAAAGAGGUGACAAGAAGUCACAUAUAAGGGUGGUGAGAUUUCUUUUCAAGCAGUUUCUCUUGCCAGUUCUUUUUCUCCUUGAUUGCUCAAGUGCCAGUUUUGAUGGAGCUGGUUAAUAAUUCUUUGAGAGAGAGGUGAAGUGUACACUUAUGAGUCUCAGACGACUCACCAAAGCAUUUUAAGCCCUUUAGCAGAGGUGGAAUUAAGUCACGUGAUCUAUUUUCUGGUUAAUAGCUUAUAACUCUCAGAAACGAAUUAAUUAUUUUCCUGUAAUGUAAGAAACAUUACUGUCUUAGGUAAAAACCCGUCUUCGUGGGAGGCAGGCUGUGCCAGGCACAGUGCAUGGUCCCCGCCCUCGAGGAGCUUGCUUUCUGACCCUUUCCCUCGGUGGGACUCAGUUUCUUUAUCUGCAAAUGCAGGCAUCAGAUGAGAUCAUCUUCACAGUCCCUUCCAGCUCUCAACAUUCUGUGGUACCUAGAGGAUAAUGGAGACUCAUCAUUAUUUCAACAUCACCAGGGAUGAACUAGGAAUGAAAAGAGCAAACUUUCCAUCAGGGUCAACAGGCAGGCAGCAGUCAUCAGCUAAACUAUUCCACUUCCUGGGAGGUGUUGAUGAA
Molecule: long non-coding RNA, 1344 nt
Filed under: Bos indicus x Bos taurus (hybrid cattle)
Lineage: Eukaryota; Metazoa; Chordata; Mammalia; Artiodactyla; Bovidae
Description: lncRNA (ENSBIXG00005006514.1)
Source: RNAcentral